GACGAACGCUGGCGGCGUGCUUAACACAUGCAAGUCGAACGGAAAGGCCCUGCUUUUGUGGGGUGCUCGAGUGGCGAACGGGGGAGUAACACGUGAGUAACCUGCCCUUGACUUUGGGAUAACUUCAGGAAACUGGGGCUAAUACCGGAUAGGAGCUACUGCUGCAUGGUGGGGGUUGGAAAGUUUCGGCGGUUGGGGAUGGACUCGCGGCUUAUCAGCUUGUUGGUGGGGUAGUGGCUUACCAAGGCUUUGACGGGUAGCCGGCCUGAGAGGGUGACCGGCCACAUUGGGCCUGAGCUACGGCCCAGCCUCCUACGGGAGGCAGCAGUGGGGAAUAUUGCACAAUGGGCGGAAGCCUGAUGCAGCAACGCCGCGUGCGGGAUGACGGCCUUCGGGUUGUAAACCGCUUUCGCCUGUGACGAAGCGUGAGUGACGGUAAUGGGUAAAGAAGCACCGGCUAACUACGUG
This 468-nucleotide ribosomal RNA is filed under the name uncultured bacterium. Its description in RNAcentral is "partial 16S ribosomal RNA". It matches the Rfam family "Bacterial small subunit ribosomal RNA", at positions 28 to 507 of the family's 1533-position model. The record is from RNAcentral.